This 591-nucleotide ribosomal RNA is filed under the name uncultured bacterium. Its description in RNAcentral is "bacterial SSU rRNA". It matches the Rfam family "Bacterial small subunit ribosomal RNA", at positions 102 to 670 of the family's 1533-position model. The record is from RNAcentral.
ACGGGUGAGUAACGCGUAGACAACCUACCUUCUAGAUGGGGACAACACCGCGAAAGUGGUGCUAAUACCGAUUGUUGUAUGAAGAUCACAUGGUUUUCAUACUAAAGAUGGCCUCUAUUUAUAAGCUAUCGCUAGAAGACGGGUCUGCGUCUGAUUAGCUAGUAGGCGGGGUAAAAGCCCACCUAGGCGACGAUCAGUAGCCGGUCUGAGAGGAUGAACGGCCACACUGGGACUGAGACACGGCCCAGACUCCUACGGGAGGCAGCAGUGGGGAAUCUUCCGCAAUGGACGAAAGUCUGACGGAGCAACGCCGCGUGAGUGAUGAAGGCCUUCGGGUUGUAAAGCUCUGUUAUCGGGGAAGAACACUUUCUAUGUGAAUAAUGUAGGGAGUUGACGGUACCCGAGGAGGAAGCCACGGCUAACUACGUGCCAGCAGCCGCGGUAAUACGUAGGUGGCGAGCGUUGUCCGGAAUUAUUGGGCGUAAAGCGCGCGUAGGCGGGAAAGUAAGUCUACUCUAAAAGUGCGGGGCUCAACCCCGUAAUGGGGUGGAAACUGCUUUUCUUGAGUGCCGGAGAGGAAAGCGGAAUUCC